AAACCUACGGGGCGCAGCAGUAGGGAAUCUUCCACAACGGGCGCAAGCCUGACCCAGCAACGCCGCGUGAAGGAAGAAGGCUUUCGGGUUGUAAACUUCUUUUCUUGGGGACGAAGAAAGUGACGGUACCCAAGGAAUAAGCCACGGCUAACUACGUGCCAGCAGCCGCGGUAAUACGUAGGUGGCAAGCGUUAUCCGGAUUUAUUGGGUGUAAAGGGCGUGUAGGCGGGAUUGCAAGUCAGAUUGGAAAACCACGGGCUCAACCGGUGGC
Molecule: ribosomal RNA, 271 nt
Filed under: uncultured bacterium
Lineage: Bacteria
Description: partial 16S ribosomal RNA
Rfam family: Bacterial small subunit ribosomal RNA
Source: RNAcentral